Molecule: long non-coding RNA, 871 nt
Organism: Mizuhopecten yessoensis (Yesso scallop)
Lineage: Eukaryota; Metazoa; Mollusca; Bivalvia; Pectinida; Pectinidae
Exons: 3
Source: RefSeq, a predicted model, not a curated record
AUAUAUAAUGUUUCAGCAUUUACUUUUAACUCCUUCUCCUCCUGCAAGCCCCCCAUUCUAACAGUAUGUUAGAGGGAAAUGAUGGAUAACACCAUACAACUACCAGAAUUCGGUAUAAAAGAACGAACCCGAGCUGUAUUCCGUGGAGAUCACCCCAGCUAUACACUGACAUAGCAGUCUAGGAUUGUCAGAGAGCACACGAAAUGAUGUCGUCCGUCUGGUUCGUGUUGUUGCUGAUCACGUGUCUGCUCCAUGUCAACAUGGCUUACUUAGACUUAGAAGGACCCUGGAGUUGGGAUUUCGGCCCAUGGGACACCUUUCAAACGCACUAUCUUCCGCGUCCUCCGUUGGUCUUCCCCUACCCGAGGCAACCGGUCAUUAUACCUCUUGCUCACAUAUGGGAGUGAAACCGGGUCGUUUGGAACUGUAUUAAAAGAUUGUCCCUACCUUGACUUGGUUGCUCGACGUGGAGACACACUUCAUGGAUCAAGUCUCAUCUGUAAAUUUAUCUGUAAAUCCAAUUUACAAAUAACUAUGGUUUAAUUUGUUUAAUCAUCAGUAACCUGCAGCGCUUACUUGGAUUGUUCUAAGUCUACCUGUACGUAGAGGUAACAGACGUAUUUGUGGUGAUAAAAGUGUACGUACUAAAUGCAGAGUGCAAUAGUCCAAUCAAAAAUGUAACUACCCUUUUACGAGACUUUAGUCUAAUUAGGUAUUUUACCAAUCAAAAAUGUUAUCAUCCUUAGAGUCAAAACAGAUAUGUAUCACUCAUUAGCACAAUCAGCAAUGUCAUCACUAUCUAGUUGGCAUAGUUCCGCUUUGAUAUGUGAUACUAUUGAUAUCUUGUAAUAAAAGAUUUACUGUAAGUCAC